RNAcentral lists this ribosomal RNA (322 nucleotides) under uncultured bacterium. RNAcentral describes it as "bacterial SSU rRNA". It matches the Rfam family "Bacterial small subunit ribosomal RNA", at positions 43 to 359 of the family's 1533-position model. The record is from RNAcentral.
UCAGGCCUAACACAUGCAAGUCGAACGGCAGCAUGGAGGAGCUUGCUCCUCUGAUGGCGAGUGGCGACCGGGUGAGUAAAGCAUCGGAACGUGCCGUGUAGUGGGGGAUAACGUAGCGAAAGUUACGCUAAUCCCGCAUACUCACCGAGGUGGAAAGCAGGGGAUCGCAAGACCUUGCACUAUACGAGCGGCCGAUGUCAGAUUAGCUAGUUGGUAGGGUAAAGGCCUACCAAGGCGACGAUCUGUAGCGGGUCUGAGAGGAUGAUCCGCCACCCUGUGUGUGAGACACGGCCCACACUCCUACGGGAGGCAGCCGGUGGGG